GGGGCAAGGUUGAGAGUUUCGUGUGCUCCUUAUUUAGGUCUAUUCGAUGCAGUUUUGUACCUGAACAUCUGUGGUGAUGUACUGUUCCUGGAAAUGUUUUAUGAUAAUUGAACUCAAGGAAAAGCACACAAUUAAGGGCAAGAAAGUAUAAACUUAUGUUUGGCAAUGGGUUGGCAGGUGUUGUGACUCUGAUCCUUUUUUUUCUGGUUCAAGCUGAGGCUCGGAGCCACUUGAGCAUUUGUGUUUUCAUGUUCCUUUCAAUUUGCGCUUUGUCCGUCCCCGCAAAAAAGAACAGUGCGCUCUGUACGUUUGUUUUCAGCAAUGUGUGUUUGGGCAGCUCCAGUGUAGAAUUUCAGAGAAGAGAAAGAAUCUUUAUAUUUGUUAGUGUGCCUCUGGGAAAUGGGGCUCGCUGCUGCAACCUGCUGCAAUAGUUGCAGUAGCAGUGGCUACUGCAUCUGAUCUCGGUUCCAAUCAAUUUUCUAGCACCAGUAGCAGUGGCUACUGCAUUUGAUCUCGGUCCCAAUUUUUGAUAAGCUAGCACCCCGUGCGUGGGCC
RNAcentral lists this long non-coding RNA (555 nucleotides) under Setaria viridis. RNAcentral's name for it is "long non-coding RNA (SVIR_LNC010318)". The record is from RNAcentral. Lineage: Eukaryota; Viridiplantae; Streptophyta; Magnoliopsida; Poales; Poaceae.